RNAcentral lists this ribosomal RNA (440 nucleotides) under uncultured bacterium. RNAcentral's name for it is "partial 16S ribosomal RNA". It matches the Rfam family "Bacterial small subunit ribosomal RNA", at positions 338 to 795 of the family's 1533-position model. The record is from RNAcentral.
CCUACGGGUGGCAGCAGUGGGGGAUAUUGCACAAUGGAGGGAACUCUGAUGCAGCGACGCCGCGUGAGGGAAGAAGGUUUUCGGAUUGUAAACCUCUGUCUUCGGUGACGAAACGAGACGGUAGCCGAGGAGGAAGCCACGGCUAACUACGUGCCAGCAGCCGCGGUAAUACGUAGGUGGCAAGGGUUGUCCGGAAUUACUGGGUGUAAAGGGAGCGUAGGCGGGAAAGCAAGUUGAAUGUUUAAGGUACGGGCUCAACCGGUACAAGCGGUCAAAACUGUUUUUCUUGAGUGGAGUAGAGGUAAGCGGAAUUCCUAGUGUAGCGGUGAAAUGCGUAAAUAUUAGGAGGAACACUCGUGGCGAAGGCGGGUUCCUGGACAUUAACUGACGCUGAGGCACGAAGGCCAGGGGAGCGAAAGGGAUUAGAUACCCGGGUAGUC